RNAcentral lists this ribosomal RNA (458 nucleotides) under uncultured bacterium. RNAcentral describes it as "partial 16S ribosomal RNA". It matches the Rfam family "Bacterial small subunit ribosomal RNA", at positions 29 to 507 of the family's 1533-position model. The record is from RNAcentral.
AACGAACGCUGGCGGCAUGCCUAACACAUGCAAGUCGAACGAGACCUUCGGGUCUAGUGGCGCACGGGUGCGUAACGCGUGGGAACCUGCCCUUAGGUUCGGAAUAACUCCCCGAAAGGGGUGCUAAUACCGGAUAAUGUCUUCGGACCAAAGAUUUAUCGCCUUUGGAUGGGCCCGCGUUGGAUUAGCUAGUUGGUAAGGUAAAAGCCUACCAAGGCAACGAUCCAUAGCUGGUCUGAGAGGGUGAUCAGCCACACUGGGACUGAGACACGGCCCAGACUGCUACGAGAGGAAGAAGUAGGGAAUAUUCCGGAAUGGGCGAAAGCGUGACGGAGCAAAGCGGCGUGAGUGAUGAAGGUCUUAGGAUCGGAAAACUAUGUUAUUAGGAAGGAACAAAUGUGUAAGUAACGAUGAAGGUCUUGACGGUACCGAAACAGAAAGCCACGGCUAACUACGGG